RNAcentral lists this ribosomal RNA (426 nucleotides) under uncultured Dialister sp. RNAcentral describes it as "bacterial SSU rRNA". It matches the Rfam family "Bacterial small subunit ribosomal RNA", at positions 356 to 774 of the family's 1533-position model. The record is from RNAcentral. Lineage: Bacteria; Bacillati; Bacillota; Negativicutes; Veillonellales; Veillonellaceae.
GGGGAAUCUUCCGCAAUGGACGAAAGUCUGACGGAGCAACGCCGCGUGAGUGAUGACGGCCUUCGGGUUGUAAAGCUCUGUGAUCGGGGACGAAUGGCUGGUGCGUUAAUACCGCAUCAGAGUGACGGUACCCGAAUAGCAAGCCACGGCUAACUACGUGCCAGCAGCCGCGGUAAUACGUAGGUGGCAAGCGUUGUCCGGAAUUAUUGGGCGUAAAGCGCGCGCAGGCGGCUUCUUAAGUCCAUCUUAAAAGUGCGGGGCUUAACCCCGUGAUGGGAUGGAAACUGGGAGGCUGGAGUAUCGGAGAGGAAAGUGGAAUUCCUAGUGUAGCGGUGAAAUGCGUAGAGAUUAGGAAGAACACCGGUGGCGAAGGCGGCCUUCUGGGCCACGACUGACGCUGAGGCGCGAAAGCUAGGGGAGCGAACA